CGCGUAGGUGGUUCGAUCAGUCGGAGGUGAAAGCCCUCGCUCAACCGAGGAUCCGCGUCCGAUACUGUCGAACUUGAGUGCAGGAGAGGAGAGCGGAAUUCCCAGUGUAGCGGUGAAAUGCGUAGAUAUUGGGAGGAACACCGGUGGCGAAGGCGGCUCUCUGGACUGCCACUGACACUGAGGCGCGAAAGCUAGGGGAGCAAACGGGAUUAGAUACCCCGGUAGUCCUAGCCGUAAACGAUGGGCACUAGGUGUGGGAGGUAUCGACCCCUUCCGUGCCGCAGCUAACGCACUAAGUGCCCCGCCUGGGGAGUACGGCCGCAAGGUUGAA
RNAcentral lists this ribosomal RNA (331 nucleotides) under uncultured bacterium. RNAcentral's name for it is "bacterial SSU rRNA". It matches the Rfam family "Bacterial small subunit ribosomal RNA", at positions 568 to 898 of the family's 1533-position model. The record is from RNAcentral.